RNAcentral lists this ribosomal RNA (433 nucleotides) under uncultured bacterium. Its description in RNAcentral is "partial 16S ribosomal RNA". It matches the Rfam family "Bacterial small subunit ribosomal RNA", at positions 29 to 507 of the family's 1533-position model. The record is from RNAcentral.
AACGAACGCUGGCGGCAUGCCUAACACAUGCAAGUCGAACGAGACCUUCGGGUCUAGUGGCGCACGGGUGCGUAACGCGUGGGAACCUGCCCUUAGGUUCGGAAUAACUCCCCGAAAGGGGUGCUAAUACCGGAUAAUGUCUUCGGACCAAAGAUUUAUCGCCUUUGGAUGGGCCCGCGUUGGAUUAGCUAGUUGGUAGGGUAAAAGCCUACCAAGGCGACGAUCCAUAGCUGGUCUGAGAGGAUGAUCCGCCACACUGGGACUGAGACACGGCCCAGACUCCUACGGGAGGCAGCAGUGGGGAAUACUGGACAAUGGGCGAAAGCCUGAUCAAGCAAUGCCGCGUGAGUGAUGAAGGCCUUAGGGUUGUAAAGCUCUCUUACCCGGGAUGAUAAUGACAGUACCGGGAGAAUAAGCUCCGGCUAACUCCGUG